RNAcentral lists this ribosomal RNA (2224 nucleotides) under Campylobacter jejuni. RNAcentral describes it as "bacterial LSU rRNA". It matches the Rfam family "Bacterial large subunit ribosomal RNA", at positions 839 to 2925 of the family's 2925-position model. The record is from RNAcentral. Lineage: Bacteria; Pseudomonadati; Campylobacterota; Epsilonproteobacteria; Campylobacterales; Campylobacteraceae.
UUCGUGAUAGCUGGUUCUCUCCGAAAUAUAUUUAGGUAUAGCGUUGUGUCGUAAUAUAAGGGGGUAGAGCACUGAAUGGGCUAGGGCAUACACCAAUGUACCAAACCCUAUCAAACUCCGAAUACCUUAUAUGUAAUCACAGCAGUCAGGCGGCGAGUGAUAAAAUCCGUCGUCAAGAGGGAAACAACCCAGACUACCAGCUAAGGUCCCUAAAUCUUACUUAAGUGGAAAACGAUGUGAAGUUACUUAAACAACCAGGAGGUUGGCUUAGAAGCAGCCAUCCUUUAAAGAAAGCGUAAUAGCUCACUGGUCUAGUGAUUUUGCGCGGAAAAUAUAACGGGGCUAAAGUAAGUACCGAAGCUGUAGACUUGCGCACAACUUAGAUUAUUUAAGUUUAGAAUAUGAGAAACUAAGUUAUAUUUUUACUGAUUUUUAUAGAGUAAAGAUAGAAAUAAAACUUAGUAAAAUCAGUAAAAAUAUUCUUAGGCUAAAGUUAAGUAGUUUAAGUUGUGUGCAAGUGGUAGGAGAGCGUUCUAUUUGCGUCGAAGGUAUACCGGUAAGGAGUGCUGGAGCGAAUAGAAGUGAGCAUGCAGGCAUGAGUAGCGAUAAUUAAUGUGAGAAUCAUUAACGCCGUAAACCCAAGGUUUCCUACGCGAUGCUCGUCAUCGUAGGGUUAGUCGGGUCCUAAGUCGAGUCCGAAAGGGGUAGACGAUGGCAAAUUGGUUAAUAUUCCAAUACCAACAUUAGUGUGCGAUGGAAGGACGCUUAGGGCUAAGGGGGCUAGCGGAUGGAAGUGCUAGUCUAAGGUCGUAGGAGGUUAUACAGGCAAAUCCGUAUAACAAUACUCCGAGAACUGAAAGGCUUUUUGAAGUCUUCGGAUGGAUAGAAGAACCCCUGAUGCCGUCGAGCCAAGAAAAGUUUCUAAGUUUAGCUAAUGUUGCCCGUACCGUAAACCGACACAGGUGGGUGGGAUGAGUAUUCUAAGGCGCGUGGAAGAACUCUCUUUAAGGAACUCUGCAAAAUAGCACCGUAUCUUCGGUAUAAGGUGUGGUUAGCUUCGUACUAGGAUUUACUCCGAAAGCGAAGAAACUUACAACAAAGAGUCCCUCCCGACUGUUUACCAAAAACACAGCACUCUGCUAACUCGUAAGAGGAUGUAUAGGGUGUGACGCCUGCCCGGUGCUCGAAGGUUAAUUGAUGGGGUUAGCAUUAGCGAAGCUCUUGAUCGAAGCCCGAGUAAACGGCGGCCGUAACUAUAACGGUCCUAAGGUAGCGAAAUUCCUUGUCGGUUAAAUACCGACCUGCAUGAAUGGCGUAACGAGAUGGGAGCUGUCUCAAAGAGGGAUCCAGUGAAAUUGUAGUGGAGGUGAAAAUUCCUCCUACCCGCGGCAAGACGGAAAGACCCCGUGGACCUUUACUACAGCUUGACACUGCUAUUUGGAUAAGAAUGUGCAGGAUAGGUGGGAGGCUUUGAGUAUAUGACGCCAGUUGUAUAGGAGCCAUUGUUGAGAUACCACUCUUUCUUAUUUGGGUAGCUAACCAGCUUGAGUUAUCCUCAAGUGGGACAAUGUCUGGUGGGUAGUUUGACUGGGGCGGUCGCCUCCCAAAUAAUAACGGAGGCUUACAAAGGUUGGCUCAGAACGGUUGGAAAUCGUUCAUAGAGUAUAAAGGUAUAAGCCAGCUUAACUGCAAGACAUACAAGUCAAGCAGAGACGAAAGUCGGUCUUAGUGAUCCGGUGGUUCUGUGUGGAAGGGCCAUCGCUCAAAGGAUAAAAGGUACCCCGGGGAUAACAGGCUGAUCUCCCCCAAGAGCUCACAUCGACGGGGAGGUUUGGCACCUCGAUGUCGGCUCAUCGCAUCCUGGGGCUGGAGCAGGUCCCAAGGGUAUGGCUGUUCGCCAUUUAAAGCGGUACGCGAGCUGGGUUCAGAACGUCGUGAGACAGUUCGGUCCCUAUCUGCCGUGGGCGUAAGAAGAUUGAAGAGAUUUGACCCUAGUACGAGAGGACCGGGUUGAACAAACCACUGGUGUAGCUGUUGUUCUGCCAAGAGCAUCGCAGCGUAGCUAAGUUUGGAAAGGAUAAACGCUGAAAGCAUCUAAGCGUGAAGCCAACUCUAAGAUGAAUCUUCUCUAAGCUCUCUAGAAGACUACUAGUUUGAUAGGCUGGGUGUGUAAUGGAUGAAAGUCCUUUAGCUGACCAGUACUAAUAGAGCGUUUGGCUUAUCU